RNAcentral lists this ribosomal RNA (1908 nucleotides) under Hemiowoodwardia wilsoni. RNAcentral's name for it is "SSU rRNA". It matches the Rfam family "Eukaryotic small subunit ribosomal RNA". The record is from RNAcentral. Lineage: Eukaryota; Metazoa; Arthropoda; Insecta; Hemiptera; Peloridiidae.
CUGGUUGAUCCUGCCAGUAGUCAUAUGCUUGUCUCAAAGAUUAAGCCAUGCAAGUCUCAGUACAAGCCGAAUUAAGGUGAAACCGCAAAAGGCUCAUUAAAUCAGUUAUGGUUCCUUGGAUCGUACAGUUUCCUACUUGGAUACCUGUGGUAAUUCUAGAGCUAAUACAUGCAAACAGAGUCCCGACCAGAGAUGGAAGGGACGCUUUUAUUAGAUCAAAACCAAUCGGUCGGCUCGUCCGGUCCGUUUGCUUUGGUGACUCUGAAUAACUUACAGCAGAUCGCACGGUCACCGUACCGGCGAUGCAUCUUUCAAAUGUCUGCCUUAUCAACUGUCGAUGGUAGAUUUUGCGCCUACCAUGGUUGUAACGGGUAACGGGGAAUCAGGGUUCGAUUCCGGAGAGGGAGCCUGAGAAACGGCUACCACAUCCAAGGAAGGCAGCAGGCGCGCAAAUUACCCACUCCCGGCACGGGAGGUAGUGACGAAAAAUAACGAUACGGGACUCAUCCGAGGCCCCGUAAUCGGAAUGAGUACACUUUAAAUCCUUUAACGAGGAUCAAUUGGAGGGCAAGUCUGGUGCCAGCAGCCGCGGUAAUUCCAGCUCCAAUAGCGUAUAUUAAAGUUGUUGCGGUUAAAAAGCUCGUAGUCUGAUCUGUGUCCCACACUGUCGGUUCACUGCCCGUCAGUGUUUAACUGGCAUGUUGUGGGACGUCCUGCCGGUGGCGGUUCGGGGCCUUGGCGGGUUUAGGGCUUGCCCGAAGCUCGCCUUGCGCUUCCUCCGCCGAUUCAAUCCCGUCGCGGUGCUCUUUACUGAGUGUCGAGGCGGGCCGGCUCGUUUACUUUGAACAAAUUUGAGUGCUUAAAGCAGGCUAAAUUCUGCCUGAAAACUGUGUGCAUGGAAUAAUGGAAUAGGACCUCGGUUCUAUUUUGUUGGUUUUCGGAACCCGAGGUAAUGAUUAAUAGGGACAGGCGGGGGCAUUCGUAUUGCGACGUUAGAGGUGAAAUUCUUGGAUCGUCGCAAGACGGACUUAAGCGAAAGCAUUUGCCAAGUAUGUUCUCGUUGAUCAAGAACGAAAGUUAGAGGUUCGAAGGCGAUCAGAUACCGCCCUAGUUCUAACCAUAAACGAUGCCAGCCAGCGAUCCGCCGAAGUUCCUCCGAUGACUCGGCGGGCAGCUUCCGGGAAACCAAAGCUUUUGGGUUCCGGGGGAAGUAUGGUUGCAAAGCUGAAACUUAAAGGAAUUGACGGAAGGGCACCACCAGGAGUGGAGCCUGCGGCUUAAUUUGACUCAACACGGGAAACCUCACCAGGCCCGGACACUGGAAGGAUUGACAGACUGAGAGCUCUUUCUCGAUUCAGUGGUUGGUGGUGCAUGGCCGUUCUUAGUUGGUGGAGCGAUUUGUCUGGUUAAUUCCGAUAACGAACGAGACUCUAGCCUACUAACUAGGCGUCCCGGUAUUCAUAAUUUUGAACUACCGGCGAUUAUUUAUCUUCUUAGAGGGACAGGCGGCUUCUAGCCGCACGAGACUGAGCAAUAACAGGUCUGUGAUGCCCUUAGAUGUCCUGGGCCGCACGCGCGCUACACUGAAGGAAUCAACGUGUCCUCCCUGGCCGAAAGGUCCGGGUAACCCGCUGAACCUCCUUCGUGCUAGGGAUUGGGGCUUGCAAUUGUUCCCCAUGAACGAGGAAUUCCCAGUAAGAGCGAGUCAUAAGCUCGCUUUGAUUACGUCCCUGCCCUUUGUACACACCGCCCGUCGCUACUACCGAUUGAAUGAUUUAGUGAGGUCUUCGGACUGGUGCGCGGCAAUCAGCAAUGGUAGCCGAUGUUACUGGAAAGAUGACCGAACUUGAUCAUUUAGAGGAAGUAAAAGUCGUAACAAGGUUUCCGUAGGUGAACCUGCGGAAGGAA